UUACACCUUCAAAAUAACUAAUCGGUUGCUGCUCAGAAUUUGUAUAUCCCCAAUUCAAUUUUGGGUAGUUUUGGGUCGCCAGUAUACAGAUGUGAACUAAAACUAGAUUAGUCAACUCUGUAUAAAAAGUUUGCUGUUGUUGGAAUUUAGUUUGAAGGGAUGUCGAAGCGAAAAAAGAAAAAAUAUUUUAACUUUUUGAUCGCGGAGGAUCAUUUUAACAACCGAAUCCGGUGACACAGAAGCUAAUUUGACUGAGCAAGGAAUGUCAAUCGAAAUUUAAAAAAGGUAAAGUUGCUUGCAUCACGAACAUUUAAUUAACUAAAAUUUUUCCAAUAUACUUUUUUCGAACUGUUAGAAACAACGUCUGAAAAUGCGAGCCAGUGCCGAGAAAGCGCUCGUCAAGAAAAGGAACGGACAGAUUCUGCAGAAAACGCUGGUGAACGAGCUGGAACAAUUGUUCCAUAAGAUAUGAUGGAUCUGAUUGGAAAAUUUUCGUAGCCUAUCCGGACAUCGCCAUCCGAUGGAACUUUCGCUGGAUGUGCAUCGAACAAUUCUGCCAAAAUAAAAAAAACCAAGCACCAUCGAUAAAUAUCUGGGCUCCUCGGAACUCUUACUUAAGGUUAACCCGGAACGGGACUGCGGCGGGGAGCGACGGCGGUGUAUUCUGGAAAAGGGAGCCAAAUUAGAACCGAGAAAUUGAUCUCUGCACUGCAUUCCCAUACGUACAAAAAUGUACAUUAUUCCUUUUUUCAUCGGAAACGGCGAAUUGUGUUACAGUUGGUGUUAUUCAACUUCGGACCCGUCAACGGGAGAGAAACACCUGCUAUGGCUAAAAUGAACCGGUGCUGAACAGAGUUAACGAACCUGGAACGGGCGCUGGUUUUCGAUAAGACCAAAAUUCUGCAUCAGAUGUUGGCCGCUUAUGAUCCGAACGGUGCCCGGUCAAAGAAGAUUGAGAGUUUCUGGCGGAAGAAAAAAACUCACAAGCAUCUAUACUGAAGCGAAGCUAUGGAUGCGUUUAAAUCGUUUGUUUCAUUACCUUUAAUGAUA
Uranotaenia lowii is the source of this 1050-nucleotide long non-coding RNA. RefSeq lists it as uncharacterized. NCBI's taxonomy places the organism in Eukaryota, Metazoa, Arthropoda, Insecta, Diptera, Culicidae. The transcript is spliced from 4 exons. The record is from RefSeq and is a predicted model, not a curated record.